Long non-coding RNA from Vicia villosa (hairy vetch), 2402 nucleotides. RefSeq lists it as uncharacterized. Lineage: Eukaryota; Viridiplantae; Streptophyta; Magnoliopsida; Fabales; Fabaceae. The transcript is spliced from 5 exons. The record is from RefSeq and is a predicted model, not a curated record.
UAAAAAUUGGUAACAAACAUGUGAUAUCAUGUUGUUGUAUUGAUUACUUUAUAGGAGCAUCCCAAAGAAAAACUCGUGGGAAAACUUUAUGCAAAAAGAUUCAUGCAAGAACUUUGGAAGAGCGAGCAAAAGUGACUUUAAUGAGGAUGGUCAUCCAAUUGGUCCUAGUGAUAAAGUAGUAUCUGACUUGAGCCUCUUCUUGGAAACAUUGGCUAGGAACUCAACAUUUUGUCCUCUGCGUUACAUCAAUUGGUCAGGAAUUCCAAACGAUAAUAAAAACCGUUUAUGGAGAUAUACUAAUCAGAAGUUUAUCUUGCCGGUUGAAGCACGAGAUUGGGUUAAGACCACAGUUAGAGAUGCAUGGAGAAGAUAUAAGCACACUAUUAAGAAGAAUCAUUUUUUAGAAGUAUUCCAACAUGACUAAGAGACUCAAAAAUCGUCCAGCAAAGGUUCCCAUAGCUCAAUUUAAGAGUCUUUGUGAUUAUUAGAGUAAGGAAGCUAUACAAACAAUAAGUGACAAUAACACUAGAAAUAGAGCUCAACUAAAGUGGAUGCAUAGAAUGGGUCCCAAAAACUUUGCUUUGAGUCGUGGAAAAGUGCGUGAAAAGGAAAAAAGAGAGCCCACUCAAUCAGAAAUGUUUGUUGAAACUCGAAAAGGAAAUAAAGGAAAGGAACUGGAUGUAGAAACUAGAAAAGUAAUUUCCCAACUUCAAGAAAUGGUUGAAAAGGAGGAAAGUGACACAGAAGCUUUUAAAGUUGUUUUUGGAAAGAAGUGUCUUGGCAAGGUACGCUGUUAUGGGAGAAACGUAACUAAAACUUCCUUAAAGCGAAAGGUGGAGAUUAAUGCUUUGAAACAAGCACAUAGUGAAGAGGUCUUUAUAUUAAGGCACGAGUUUCAAGAUCAUAUUGAUAGAUUGCAAAAUGCUUUUAAGACCUUAAUACAACAAUGAAAUCCUCAAAUUAAUAUGGAGUCAAUCGAAGAUUUGUUAGGAUUAUCUCAUGGAGAUGCUAAUAGUUCCCCAAAGGAUAUGACACAACAAUUGCAUUCCUCUACAUCAACUCAUGCUCCAUGUCAUGGAAAGGUAAUCGCCUUAAAGGCCACUAAUAAUCGUCCCCUAUUCCUUUGGUUUAGGCGACGUUUUUAAAUAGCGUGCCUAAAGAAUGAGAAAAAAACGUCGCCUUUGAGAAUAGGAAAUGCUCGCACAAGAGACGCCUAGAAAACGUCCCCUAUUCCUUUAGGCAACACUUUCCAAAGUUCUGGCAACGUUUUCUAAUUGUUGCUGUAGAGCCUAAAUAUUGUAGUGACUGUCUUUCUUCAUUUACUUUAUCCUUUCAAGCAAUUAUGCAUUUUACUUCUUUGAAUUUUCAUUCAGUUGCUCUAAAUUCAAACACUAAAUCUUUAAGCACUAACACACAUUCUCAAGCAUUUCACACAAAAAUGUCCUUUAGGAUUUUUCGAGUUUGAUCCUGCAAGUGAAUUGAAUCUCGUGACUUGUUUACUAAAAACAAUACUAAACAGGGGGUAAACCGUGCUUUUUGAAGCACACUUCUAUCGUGUGACAAGGUUUAUGACACUAUGUGUAUCUUGAUACCUCAUCCACGAAUAGUUGAAGUUGAUUUGUUGUUGGAGUCCCAAGGUUUUAGCUUUGUUGAAGGGCUUGGAAACUUGAGCUAUUAACUUGUAUUCUUCAAUGGGAGCUGUGAAUUGGCACUCUUGUUGAAUAAGGAGAGAGAAUACUUUGUUUAUGGGGGAAUGGGCUGAAUAAGCAUAAUGUUGAAUUGAAUUGUGGAGUAUUGUCCAUUCAGACCUUUAAAGAGGCGAAUGACAUAGUCAUUCUCACGAUACUGUUUGAUAAAUUGAAGGAGGUUACAAGAGCACUUAAUAGUGCACACACAAUUUGGGAUAGAGAGAAAGUUUUCUAGCUUCUGCCAUAAUUUUUCCAGAGAUGUAAAUUAUUGAGUUUUUAUUGAAUCACUUUGUUUGAGAGUGAAUAUUUCUUCUUGAAGGUAAAAUAUCCUAAAACCAUUGACUUAUUAAUAUGGAUCAUGUAAGUCUUUCCAGAUUUCAUGAGCGAUAUUCAUCCACAAAAUGUUUUCAGCGAUCUCAAGUUCAAUAGAAUUUAUGAGUCAUGCCAUAACCAUUGUGUUAUAGCGGUGCAAUCCACUGAGUUAUAUUAAAUUAGGGUUCCAUCAAGAAACCCCAAUUUGUUCUUGGAGCGAAUCACAAGUUUAAUUGAACGAGACCAGAAAUGAAAGAUUUUGUUGUUCAUGGAUGGGGUGGCAAUGGUGAUACCAGGAUCGUCGCUAGGGUGCAUGUAGAACGGAUCUAGCAUGUUUGUUUGGUAGGAAUGAUUAGCAUUAUUGGUGUUGUAUUUUAAGGUCGUAUACAUGGAAGUUUCAGG